RNAcentral lists this ribosomal RNA (253 nucleotides) under uncultured bacterium. Its description in RNAcentral is "partial 16S ribosomal RNA". It matches the Rfam family "Bacterial small subunit ribosomal RNA", at positions 524 to 776 of the family's 1533-position model. The record is from RNAcentral.
UACAGAGGGUGCGAGCGUUAAUCGGAAUUACUGGGCGUAAAGCGUGCGCAGGCGGUUGUGUAAGACAGAUGUGAAAUCCCCGGGCUCAACCUGGGAACUGCAUUUGUGACUGCACAGCUGGAGUGCGGCAGAGGGGGAUGGAAUUCCGCGUGUAGCAGUGAAAUGCGUAGAUAUGCGGAGGAACACCGAUGGCGAAGGCAAUCCCCUGGGCCUGCACUGACGCUCAUGCACGAAAGCGUGGGGAGCAAACAGG